GAGAUGGGAGGAUUGCUUGAUCUCAGGAGUUUGAGGUUACAAUGAGCUAUGAUCAUACCACUGCACUCCAGCCUGAGUGACAGAGCAAGACCCUGCCUC
This 99-nucleotide microRNA precursor is filed under the name Carlito syrichta (Philippine tarsier). RNAcentral describes it as "miRNA (ENSTSYG00000035075.1)". Lineage: Eukaryota; Metazoa; Chordata; Mammalia; Primates; Tarsiidae. The record is from RNAcentral.